UAAGAGUGAAGCAAUUAUGCAUUCAGUUUCGACCUGAACCAAUGGACACCCCACUCUUAU
This 60-nucleotide transfer RNA is filed under the name Ornithodoros savignyi. Its description in RNAcentral is "tRNA-Arg". The record is from RNAcentral. Lineage: Eukaryota; Metazoa; Arthropoda; Arachnida; Ixodida; Argasidae.